AUGAGCUCCUCCUCCUCCACCGUCUCAAACCCGUUCGCUAGUCCCGAUGUCACCCUCGUCCGCGACCUCAACAUCCAUGAGCGUGUCCCGGUGAAGCUUGAUCAAAACACCGCGUCCUACUCCGCUUGGAAGCGGUAUUUUUCGCUUGUGUUCCGUGAGCACCUCCUGCACGGCCACGUGGACGGCACUGUGGAUUCGGCGCUCAUGAUCAACGACGAGGAGUGGAUGAUCCUCGACGCCACCAUCAUCCGCUGGUUCUACCUCACCAUCUCCAGCGACAUCUUCCACACCGUGGUGGAUGACGACGACGACGCCUACGCGGUCUGGACCAAGCUCAACGGCCUUUUCACCGACAACAGGUUGCAGCGCAAGGUCCUUCUCCACGGCGAGUUUUAUGGGUGCCAGCAGCUUGACUCGUCCAUCGACGAUUUCUGCAUGCGCCUCAAGAAGCUUACCGAUGAGCUCCGUGAUCUCGGGGAGACGAUCGGCGAUGAGCUCCUCAUCAGCACCCUCACCGCCAGACUCAACGAGGAUUUUGGGAACGCCGCCUCCAACCUCACCCUCAUCCCGGAGCCUACCUUCGCUAAGGUGGUCGCGUACCUCAAGUUGGAGGAGCGCCGGAUGCGGAUGGCACGGACUCGCACAACACACACCGCCCUCGUCGCCGUCACCCGCGGGGCUCAAGGCCCGCCACCACCGCGCCUGACGCCACCCCAGUCGGCUGUGCCCGCCUUCCCGCCCGCCUUCCCACCCGCCCCGCUCGCUCCCUUCCCGCCGCCCCAGCCGGCGGCCAAUGGGGGGGGGUCGUCACGGCAGCCGUCGUGGCGGCCGCAAGAAGGGGGCGCCGGAGCUCAAGGAGGAGCACCCCGCCCACCGCAGCCCGCCUAUCAGCCAGCCCCGUGGUACGCUGGCCAGAACCCAUGGACCGGCAUCGUGCACGCCUACUCCAUGCCGGUUCCCCGUACCCCUGCUCCGGGUAUCCUCGGCGCCCGGCCACCGUCCCACCAGGCGUUCUACGCCGCGUCGCAGCCCUAUGCGGCGCCCUAUGGUCAGCAGCCGCAGCCAGGCGGGCUGCCGCUGCUGCCCCUGACGGCCCCGCCACAGCCUCUCCCGCCGGCGCCGUGGGAUGAAGCUAUGUACCUAGGGUAG
RNAcentral lists this ribosomal RNA (1149 nucleotides) under Triticum aestivum (bread wheat). Its description in RNAcentral is "partial small subunit ribosomal RNA". Lineage: Eukaryota; Viridiplantae; Streptophyta; Magnoliopsida; Poales; Poaceae. The record is from RNAcentral.